This 2679-nucleotide long non-coding RNA is filed under the name Piliocolobus tephrosceles (Ugandan red Colobus). RNAcentral's name for it is "lncRNA (ENSPTEG00000022227.1)". The record is from RNAcentral. Lineage: Eukaryota; Metazoa; Chordata; Mammalia; Primates; Cercopithecidae.
AUGGAAGAAAAAAAUGAAUAUAAUUUGACUUUACAACAGAAUAAUAACAACCGUAAUAACACUACAGACAUAAAUAAUAAACUACUUAUAGAAAUGCAAAAUAAUUUAGUUAAAAAAGAAGAACCUAACAUAAUUAAUAAAACAAAACCUAACAUAGCUAACAAAAUUGAAUCGAGCACAACUAAUAAAAUUGAACCGAGUACAACUAACAAAAUUGGACUGAACAUAAUUAGAAAAACAGAACCCAUUAUAACUAACAAAGUUGAUCCCAUAAUAGUUAACGAAACAAAACAAAAAAUAAUUAGGAAAACAGAACCUAUCACAACUAAAAAAGUAGAACCUACCACAAUUAAAAAGACAGAACCUACCACAANNNNNNNNNNUAAAAAGACAGAACCUACCACAAUUAAAAAGACAGAACCCAACAUAAACAAAAAAGCAGAACCUAACACAAUUAAAAAAGUAGAACCUAACACAAUUAAAAAAGUAGAGACCACAGAAGUUGACAAAAUUCAGCUCAUAAACGAAAGUGAAAAUAAAAAGAUGUUAAAUACCUUAUUUGGUAAAAAUUAUCAAAUUAAUGCUGACCAGGGUCAUAUUAAAAAAGAACAAAUAAAGAUAAAAAAUGAACAUAUCGAUAAGGUUACGACUGAGGAUGUUAAUAAACAAAAUGUCAAUGGCACAAAUAAACAAAAUGUUAGUGGCACAAAUAAACAAAAUGUUAGUGGCACAAAUAAACAAAAUGAUAAUAAUUACGUUGUUCAUAAUAAUGUAAACUAUUUAGAAAAAAUAAAAAAAGAAAUUACAGUACCCACUUUUCCAGUUGAUAUGUCUCCAUAUAAUAUAAAAUGUGUUGUAAGUAACGAAACGGACCCAGAUGUAUGUAUAUUGGUACUUAAUAAAAAUAAAACGACAAUAUUAGAUAAUACUGCUAACUCUAGUAUAAAUGACAAUAAUAAACGUGAAGAAUAUAUUACACCAAGUGUUAAUUUUACACCAAAUGUUAAUUUUACACCAAAUGUUAAUUUUACACCAAAUGUUAAUUUAUACAAACAAGAAAUAAAUCUUCCCCAAAAAGAAAACAUUAACAACCACAUUUACGACAAUUACAACCAAAAUUACAACGACAACCACAACCACAACCACAAUUACAACCAAAAUUACAACGACAACCACAACGACAACCACAACCACAACUACAACCACAACUACAACCACAAUUACAACCAAAAUUACAACGACAACCACAACCAAAAUUACAACCACAAUUACAAUCACAUUUACAACCACAACCAAAAUUAUAUUUGUGAUGAUGUAAAACAUGGACAAAAUAUAGCCCAACAAAAUAAACAACUACAAGUAAUACAACAAAACAAUUUUAUUGAAAACCAAAAUAACGAAAUGAACGAUUUUAAUCAAAACUACACUGAAGAAGGAUAUACACAGGUGAAUGUUAAAGAAAACAUAGAAUUAGUAAAAGUACUGAAGCAAUUACUACCUCAUGCUAAAGUACAUACCGUGACUAAUGUAAUGGGUAAUACAAUGGAUAAUGUAAUUAGUAAUACCAUGGAUAAUGUAAUUAGUAAUACNNNNNNNNNNAUGGAUAAUGUAAUUAGUAAUACCAUGGAUAAUGUAAUUAGUAAUACCAUGGAUAAUGUAAUGGGUAACGAUACAAACGUAAUUAAUAAUAAACUUCAACAAAAAUACAUAGAUAAUAAACAAAAAUGGAUCAUCGAAAAAAAACCAAUAGAACAAAAAACUGAUCAUAUUUAUAUGAACACCGUUUCUAAUGUUACUACUACCGGUACUAACAUAAAUAAUAAUAUUGUUUGUAACAAUUAUAUGAAUGACAAUAAUAAUGUUGCUAAUAUAAAUAAAACUAUGCAAAAUAAAAGGCCUAAUAAAGGUCCUAAUAAAAGUCCUAAUAAAAGUCCUAAUAAAAGUCCUAAUAAAAGUCCCAAUAAAAGUCCCAAUAAAAGUCCUAAUAAACAACAAAUAGAUAAUAUUAAUAAAAAUGUAAUAAGAGAGAAUAAUAAUAAUGUUAGUGACAACCCAUACGAUUUACUUAGUAAUAUAAAAAAUCAUUUGAAUAAAAUGGAUGUAUGUGAUUUACUUAAAUAUUACCAUAAAUUAAACAUACAACAAAUACAAUUAAAAAUGUAUCUUAUUUAUCAAAAGUUAAAAGUAUUGACAAAUGAUGGGAAUUAUAACAAUGAACAUGAAAAUAAUCUCGGGAGUGGAAACAGGAAUAAUAUUGAUGAUAGAAACGAAAAUAGUAUUGGAGAUAAAAAUAAAAAUAACAAUGUUAAUAAUAGCCAUGCUAUUACCACUAAUAAUAAAGAAAGAGAACAAAAAAUUUUAUACAAACUUAAAGAAAUAAAAGAAACUUUUACUUAUGGUAAUGAUUUGUUAAAAUCACUUUUAAAACAAAAUAUAAAAAAAUAUAAACCUAUUAUUCAACAAUUUAUGAUUAUAUUACGGUACCAUAACAAUUUAUAUGAAAAAAAAAAAAAAAAUAUUAUUCAAGAAAAUGUACAUAAUACUAAUCUUUUAAAUUUUAUUUUUAAUCUGGAUGAUAUAAUUGAUCAUAUAAAAAUAAUUACACCAUAUCAGGAACCGAAUACAUAUUUUGAGACAGGUGAUUAUAUUGUAAAUAUUAAUAAAAAAAAAAUAAUUUAA